GUCCUUCCGCGACCCUGUAGUGCUAUCAGUUGUGUAAUUUAAACCUGUGAAAUGAAGUACACUUAUAAAGAUAUGAAACUAAGUCUGCGACAUUAGAACGUGCAUUUGAGUUCACUUCACAAGCCAAGUUUUAGCGUAAAAGAUUUAUUAGUUGACCGUAAAAAUGUCUGUUGAUCGUUUCUGUGAGACAAUGUGUAUAGCGACUAUAGCUGUUAUGUUUGGAUGUGUGGCUUGUAUAACAAUCAAGACACCCGUAGGAGCUAUUUCCGGUAUACAGGAAACAUUGACAGUUGACGGACGCCCAUACCGAAUGUCGACAUUCCUCGGUAUUCCAUUUGCAGAGUCUACCGCCGGAGAAAAUCGCUUCAAAAAGCCAAUUACCAAGGCGCCAUUUUUAAGCACGUUCGACGCUACCAAGAAUCCAAUGGCGUGCUUUCCGUCUCAUUUGGGAGGCGAAAUAAAGUAUGGAAAAUAUGUAAACUUUUCAGAAGACUGUUUGAAUCUCAACGUGUUUGUUCCCCAUUCAUUUGAGAAGAACGUCUCACUCCCGGUGAUGAUUUGGAUUUACGGAGGCUCUUUCGUAGAGGGCGCCACCGCAAUUUUCCCAGGAGAAGGCAUCAGUGCGUUUGGUGACGUCAUCGUGGUUACAGUAAGUUACAGACUUGGUAUGUUCGGAUUUAUCCAGAGCGCCGAUGGGAAACUUCCGGGUAACCUGGGACUUUGGGAUCAGCAUCUCGGAAUCAAAUGGGUUCAUGAUAACAUACAAGCUUUUACAGGAAAUCCAAAUGACGUUACGGUAUUUGGCGAAUCGGCAGGUGGCGCAUCUGUAAUAUUUCAGUCUCUUUAUCCGGGCAACCGAGGAUUCUUUCAGCGUGUGAUUGCACAGAGUGGCUCGGCGCUUGCUUAUUGGGCAGUCCAUGCUACACCAAACGCGGAACCGUUGAUUGCCAAGAAAGGCUGCGAGCGGGCGCCGGACCCAGUGAAAUGUCUUCGAGCCCUUACCCCUCGGCAACUUCAAGACGACGAUACUUCGGCCUGGCAACCAGUUAUUGACAGGGACUUUCUCUUAGCAUCCCCGCAGGAAAUUAUUUUCGGCAAUUCUUCUCACACUCAGAACGCGCGAAAUUUCUUUGCAUCGUUGGACCUUAUGACUGGCGCAAAUAAUUUUGACGGCGCUGUGUACUUCAGAGAUGUAUGGCCAUUCAUUUUUAAGACUACAGAUAUGAACACGUUCAACCUAACACGAGGGCAAUUUACAGGUAUUGCAAUACCUUCUAUAAUCGCAGACGCCAUCAAACCAAAGAACCACAAUAUUGCCUCAAUAAUGGGGAAGCUUCUUGAUUUCGAGUACACGGACUGGCAGCUUCCGAAUGACAGCGCCACCCUGCUGUUCAGUCUCACCAACAUGUCCAAUGACGUGGGUUUUUUCUACCCAGUCGUGUCCACGGUGAAAGGACACUCGUCACUAAGAAAGGGGAAGACGUAUUUGUACGAGCUGAGCGCUGUCCCAACGACGCAUACGUUACAAACACCAAACUGGAUACAAGGUUCUAACCACGCAGACGACAUUCAGUACGUAUUUGGGUAUCCGCUUUACGCCGGACCUCGCAGUACCGGAAACUACACGGAGGAGGAGCGUAGACUCGCCAGGGGCAUGGUUACCAUGUGGACGAACUUUGCUAAGUCAGGCGAUCCGAACCAACCGGAAGACGCCCGCCGAUUUACUAACGCCACCUGGGCCGAGUAUGACCUUAACUCUCAGAGCUUCCUACAUUUCACCAAUCAGGGAGCACUUCCGGGAUCAAGAUUCGAAGCGCGCCGGAUGCAGCUGUGGUUGGACCUCAUACCGACAAUAGCCCUUAUGGAGACUCCCCAAGCACACGGAACAGGGACGGUUCACGUACCUGAAAUCAUAAUUGGAAAAUAAUUCGCGCGUCAAUUAACCCUAACAAUUGUAUUCGAUUUGGUUUAAGCAAACUGUUCAUAUAUAUAUAUAUUCAACUGUAUACAAGCACCGCUUUCAUGUUGUUGCAUCAAUAAACGUCAAUAAAAUGUGAAUAAAAUGUGUGGAACAAUA
Dreissena polymorpha is the source of this 2077-nucleotide RNA transcript. It is a transcript of the gene named cholinesterase 2-like, with no coding region annotated. The record is from RefSeq and is a predicted model, not a curated record. The transcript has 4 exons. NCBI's taxonomy places the organism in Eukaryota, Metazoa, Mollusca, Bivalvia, Myida, Dreissenidae.